Ovis aries (sheep) is the source of this 72-nucleotide transfer RNA. It matches the Rfam family "tRNA". From Rfam's summary of the family: Transfer RNA (tRNA) molecules are approximately 80 nucleotides in length. The record is from Rfam. NCBI's taxonomy places the organism in Eukaryota, Metazoa, Chordata, Mammalia, Artiodactyla, Bovidae.
UCCCUGGUGGCUUAGAUGGUAAAGCAUCUGCCUGCAGUGCGGGAGACCCAAGUUCGAUCCCUGGGUUGGGAA